Molecule: ribosomal RNA, 573 nt
Filed under: Cantharidinae sp. STW-2009
Lineage: Eukaryota; Metazoa; Mollusca; Gastropoda; Trochida; Trochidae
Description: partial 16S ribosomal RNA
Rfam family: Bacterial large subunit ribosomal RNA
Source: RNAcentral
GUCUCUUUGUAGCUUUUAUUAGAAUAAUAUAAAGAGUCGGACCUGCCCGGUGACUAUAUUGUUAAACGGCCGCGGUACCCUAACCGUGCAAAGGUAGCAUAAUCAUUUGCCUUUUAAUUGAAGGCUAGUAUGAAUGGUUUGACGAAAGCUAAGCUGUCUCUUUUGAAAUAUUUAAAAAUUAACUUUUAGGUGAAGAGGCCUAAAUUUAUUUAAGGGACAAGAAGACCCUGUUGAGCUUUAGUAAAAUUAUAAAUGUGUAUUGUUUAUAUUAAUUUAUUACGUAUUUAUGUACAGUUUUAUUUUAUAAUUAAUCUUUAGUUGGGGCGACUGAGGAACAUAAAAAGCUUCCUUUAGACAUAAAUAAAUUUAGUUAUAGUUAGAAUUAUUAUAAUGCUAUCGUGUUAUUUUGAUCCAAAUUAUUUUGAUUAAAGGAAAAAGUUACCACAGGGAUAACAGCGUAAUCUUUCUGGAGAGAUCUUAUCGAAAGAAGGGUUUGCGACCUCGAUGUUGGACUAAGAUAUCCCAAGGGUGUAGAAGUUCUUGAAGGUUGGUCUGUUCGACCAUUAAAAUCUU